GGCUGCUGCUCAAUUGUAGGGUCAGUAAGGUAACAGUAAACAGACAUAUACAAAAUGUAUCGGUACAUGUAUAAGUAGGGGUAACAGUAAACAGACAUAUACAUUGUACAUGUAUAUGUAGGACUUGGAGGUGCGAUAGGGAAGCUUAAGUGCGAUUGGUCUACGCCUUAGUGCAAUGGUCCAUACCUUCAGGACUGAUGUUUGAUGGUCUAUUUGAUUCAUGAUUGGUUGUUUAAAAUCUACUGAUGUGCAAUUAGAAGUAGAUUUUAAUAGUUAAGUUUAUAAAUUUAAACUCUUCAUUGUCUAUUGUUG
This 312-nucleotide long non-coding RNA is filed under the name Mytilus galloprovincialis (Mediterranean mussel). Lineage: Eukaryota; Metazoa; Mollusca; Bivalvia; Mytilida; Mytilidae. The record is from RNAcentral.